This 498-nucleotide ribosomal RNA is filed under the name uncultured Lactobacillus sp. RNAcentral's name for it is "bacterial SSU rRNA". It matches the Rfam family "Bacterial small subunit ribosomal RNA", at positions 763 to 1261 of the family's 1533-position model. Lineage: Bacteria; Bacillati; Bacillota; Bacilli; Lactobacillales; Lactobacillaceae. The record is from RNAcentral.
GGGUAGCGAACAGGAUUAGAUACCCUGGUAGUCCAUGCCGUAAACGAUGAAUGCUAGGUGUUGGAGGGUUUCCGCCCUUCAGUGCCGCAGCUAACGCAUUAAGCAUUCCGCCUGGGGAGUACGACCGCAAGGUUGAAACUCAAAGGAAUUGACGGGGGCCCGCACAAGCGGUGGAGCAUGUGGUUUAAUUCGAAGCAACGCGAAGAACCUUACCAGGUCUUGACAUCUUUUGAUCACCUGAGAGAUCAGGUUUCCCCUUCGGGGGCAAAAUGACAGGUGGUGCAUGGUUGUCGUCAGCUCGUGUCGUGAGAUGUUGGGUUAAGUCCCGCAACGAGCGCAACCCUUAUGACUAGUUGCCAGCAUUUAGUUGGGCACUCUAGUAAGACUGCCGGUGACAAACCGGAGGAAGGUGGGGAUGACGUCAAAUCAUCAUGCCCCUUAUGACCUGGGCUACACACGUGCUACAAUGGAUGGUACAACGAGUUGCGAGACCGCGAG